GGCUGAAGGCUCUGCCAGGAGGUUGGAGGCAAUGGAUGACGCUGCUGAUGAUGGUGAUGAAGAUGAUAAUGAAAUGAAGAUGAAGAUGAUGAAGAUGAUGAUGACAAAGAAGAAAAGGAAGAGGAAGAGGAAGAGGAAGAGAAAGAGGAAGGCUGAGGCUGAAGGCUUUGCUAGGAGGUUGGGGGCAUUGGAUGAUGCUGCUGCUGAUGAUGAUGAAGAUGAUGAUGAAGAUGAUGAUGAAGAUGAUGAAGAUAAUGAAGAUGAUGAUGACGAAGAGGAAGAGGAGGGCCGAGGCUGAAGGCUCUGCCGGGAGGUUGGGGGCGUUUGGUGAUGCUGAUGAUGAAGAUGAUGGAGAUGGUGACGACGACGAUGAUAACGAAGAUGACGAUGAUGAAGGUGAAGAUGAUGACGAUGACGAUGAUGAAGGUGAAGAUGAUGACGAUGAUGAAGAUGACGAUGACGAUGAUGAAGAUGAAGAUGGAGAUGAAGACGACAAUAAUGAAGAUAACGAUGAUGAAGGUGAAGAUGAUAACGAUGACGAUGAUGAAGAUGAAGAUGGAGAUGAAGAUGAAGAUGAAGAUGAAGAUGAAGAUGAAGACGCCCCGCCCCCAGCGGCGAUACCGGCGUUAAGGCCACCGGCCGAUGGCGACGGGCGUUAAUUGCGGGAUGCUCCGCCGUUAAUUACGGUUAACGACCC
Molecule: long non-coding RNA, 697 nt
Filed under: Phasianus colchicus (ring-necked pheasant)
Lineage: Eukaryota; Metazoa; Chordata; Aves; Galliformes; Phasianidae
Description: lncRNA (ENSPCLG00000016753.1)
Source: RNAcentral